This 323-nucleotide long non-coding RNA is filed under the name Ananas comosus (pineapple). RNAcentral describes it as "long non-coding RNA (ACOM_LNC027687)". Lineage: Eukaryota; Viridiplantae; Streptophyta; Magnoliopsida; Poales; Bromeliaceae. The record is from RNAcentral.
CAAGACAAUAUUGUUAUGCCUUCUAUUAGUACAAAUUUGAAGUGGUUAAUGAUAAACUAAUGCUUAGUUUGGCAUUGAGAUGGAUCUAAUUAGCGCUAUUAGAUAGAAUGGAGUUGAGAAAAAAUAUAUAGGAAUAUAUUUUUGCGUUCUCCGAUGGGACCACAGAAAAUAUAUCGUAACCGACUAACCGCAAUAUGCGGAACGCAAUAUUACGUACGGAAACGAACAUAAUAUUUUUUCAUCGUCGUUUCUCACUGCACGUAAUGCAAUCUCCCCGUAAUCCCAAACGAAGCCUAAAACUUCUUAAAUAAACACAUCAAUUC